Long non-coding RNA from Bos taurus (domestic cattle), 6288 nucleotides. NCBI's taxonomy places the organism in Eukaryota, Metazoa, Chordata, Mammalia, Artiodactyla, Bovidae. The record is from Ensembl.
GCUGCACCUUGAAGGUCCGAUUGUGAUAGACAAGGAAAGGUUUCCAGGCGAAGGGUAAAAACACAGCUGUUGGGUACUGAGGUGCGUCAUGGGCUGGAGGGUGGGGCCCCUGCUCCACUUAACCCAGCUCACCCACAGGUGUAGAAAUGUCUGUUCUCCACAUUCACCCCCCUCCCACUCCUUGCCCUUGCCCACCAGCACUUCUGCCCACGAUGGGCACAGCAGGUCAUGCUAAUAGCUUACAUGGGAAUGUGGGAAAUAAGGUCAUUCUGUUCCCGUUCCAGUCUUGUUCUGGGGAAAUGUUUAGCAACCCACUGAGUGGGGAGGGGGACUUGGAGCAUCUGCCAGUUGCCACAGGGUAAAUACUCCCAUCUCAGCUAAAACCUCACGAAAAUUGCAACAUCACUAAAUACACAGCUCUUGUGAGCCCCGAAGAGCCAACUCCAGGCCAUCACCCUACCUACUCCCUCCUGGAAAAGUCUGCCUAAAGGUGGAUGAGAACUGCUCCUGAACGCUGUGCCUUCUCAAUGCGGUGCAGACCCUUCAUGCCCCACCUCUUCUUUCUUCAGCUGGGCUUGGCAAUCUUUGCCUUUCAGGGAGUGGUACAGAGAUAGAGCUGAAAGGGCGCCUGCCCAGGGAGCUGCUGGAGACAACAGAUGCACCUGUGAGUGUUUAUGUGUACCGUUAGUGCCUGCACAAUUCUGCACGUGCCCACAUGGGACUAUGCAUAUUCACAUGUGUCUGUAUGUGGGUGAACAUGCCUGUGUAACUGGGGGCUAUUCCAGAAGUUGAACCAGAACAGGAACCGUUAAGUGGUGCUUUUUAAAUGUGAUGCUUUAAAAAAGUACCCGUGUGCUGAUAAUGACCACAGUUGUGUCCUAAGCUAUUAACUGCACAUGGCUUCUGUCUGCCUCAGCAAUUCUGAACCCCUGUCCCCAUGGGCACAGGGACACAGCCCAAGACAAACAUGGAAACCAGCUCCUGGGGCUUCUAGGAGACGACAGUUCAUGGCAUACAGCCGAAUCCUCAGUGGAAACUUGGAGUCUUAACCACUGGACCUCCAGGGAAGUCCCAUGCUGCAUCAUUUGAUGGACCUAGGUACCCCAUUCCCUUGGACAUGGUGAUGUGCUGAGGAGCCCAGUUGUCCAGGCCAGGCUCCCAGUCCCCUCCCAUGGAAAUAUGACCUGUCACCUCAGCCGCUGGCUCAGACCACACACCGGGACACAGCCCAGCAGGAAAAGUCCAGAAGUGAUCAUCCCCACAGGCUCACGCCCCCUGGAGCAUCGCGGGACUCUGAGCACCGCCCAGAUCCGCAUCCGGAGCCUGGGCGGCGAGGGGGCGCGGGGGGUCCCGGUCUCUAACCCCCAGGUUCCAGGAAGUCUGCCGAGAGGCUGCACGCCCCCUCCUCCCACUUCCCGUCCUCCCCUCUCUCCCCGCCUUUCCCUCCGCCCCAUUCCCGGAUUGAAUUCCGGAAGAGUCCCCGAGCCUGCCGUGGGGUCCUGCAGGCGGUCCCUCUCCCGUCUGCUUUCUCUAUUAUUCUGAUCGACUCUCGGGGACACCGUUUGUCAACUGUCGAGAGCUAUGCAUAUGACCGGGGUUGGUAUUGUUAUUACUAAGAGGCGCUCGGUUUCGAAAUCGCUUUGAAUUUUCUGGCACCAAAUCUUGGCGGUUCCCGUGCCUGGAAGCCUCGGCCGCGUGGGUGUUUUUUCGUCCCUGUGACUUGCGGAGUGGAAACCCACUCCUGCUUUCCUGCUCGGGAAGACGGUGGUUUGAGACGGGAAACCAGGACUGUGUCGCUUCAGAAAGCCGGGAGCAAGACACGCCCCAGAGCUGGUUUAACCUGCUGUAACUAGACUGGCUGAAUUAACUAUCCCUCAACUGGACACAUGACCACUCAUUCCUAUGGAGGACUUUCAUCUGACAAACAUUUUCUCCUCUCCUUUGUCCAUCCCACUGGGAAGCAUCAACUGGCUACUCCUCCUCCAUCCUGACUCCGCCCCCAUCACCUGUCUGCCUCUCCCUCCUCCACCUUACCUAGUCAGUCGCUUGGAUCCUCCCCAAGCUCCACUGCUUAGCUCAGGCUCAUCAGAGCUCACCUGAACUGCGGUAGCCUCCUCCCCAUCUACCCAUCUACCCCAGCUCCAUUCCCCAUAAAAGCAGGUCUCAGCUUGCCACUUCUCUGCUGCUAAUCCUGUUUUGCAUCAGAGGCCAAGGCCCAGCCCUCAGGGACCAACGAGCAGGACAAACCAGGGUGCCUGAAUAAAACAUGCCUCUUCCAGUCAGUCACCCAGGAGAAACUUACUCAUCCCAGGAGGGGAGGCGGGGGAAGAAGCUCUAGGGAGGAUUCUGGCCCAGCCAACUCUCAUCAACCGAGGUGCCCCAGGGUUUUCCCAGUGGAUCAAUGGUAAAGUAUCUGUCAAUGCAGGAGACAGUGCGGGUUCUACCCCAGAAUUCGGAUGAUCCCCUGGAGGAGGAAAUGGCAAUUCACUCCAGUAUUCUUACCUGGAAAAUCCCAGAGACAGAGGACCCUGGCAGACUAUACAGUCCAUGAGGUUGCAAAAGAAUUGGACCUGACUGAGCAACUAAACCAUAACAACACCAUACAGGUGCCCUAACGUAUGUAUAAUAUGCAUCAGGAUAUUCACUGAACUAUAGCUUUCAUAGUUUCCAUUUGGAACCAAAAUAGGAGGGUAGUUAAUAAGUUCUACUUCAGCAAUACAAUUAAAUAUUACGUUCUAUUUAAAAGAAUGAGGCAGCUAAGUACUAAAAUUAAGUGAUCCUAAUUAAGAUUUAUCAUGUGCAAAAGCAAAGUGCAGAACAGUGAGUACAGCAUUUAAAGCUUAUGAUUUAAAAAAAAAAAAAGUAAACAUUUCAUAAGUAUAGAGUGUCUUUGGAAGGAAACAAUCAACAACAGUGUUGUGGAGUGGGAUGCUGGGAGACCAAGAAUAUAAAUGGGAGGAAGACUUUAUGGUGUGUGCCCUUUGAAUUUUGUGAAAUAUUAUCAAAUCCAGCAAAAUAUCAUGAAUGUAUAUUUCAUAUGUAUAUUAUGUAUGUGUGUGUGUAUAGAAUAAUUUUAAGUGUAAGGGACCUUUUAAAAAAUAUGUUUAUUUAUUUAUUUGGCCAUGCCUUGAAGCUUGCAGGAUCUUAGUUCUAUAACCGGGGAUCAAAACUCAGCAGUGGAUGUGCACAGUCCUAACCCCUGCACCCCGAGGGAAUUCCCUAAAAGGAGAGGAUUUUUCUACCCUGCUGCCGUCUAUGGGGUCGCACAGGGUCGGACACGACUGAAGUGACUUAGCAGCAGCAGCAGCAGUGCUCCGUGAGAGAUGGUGAUAAGCGUACUGCAUGGCCCUGCCCCUUCCAGACCUCAAUUUUCCAUCUAUACAAUGGCAGUCUCGGGGACUGCAAGGACAUCAAACCAGUCAAUCCUAAAAGAAGUCAACCCUGAAUAUUCAUGGAAGGACUGAUGCUGAAGCUGAAGCUGCAGUACUUUGACUACAUGAUUUGACAAGCCGACCCAUUGGAAAAGACCCUAAUACUGGGGAAGAUUAACGGCAGGAGGAAAAGGGGGUGACAGAGGAUGAGAUGGUUGGAUAGCAUCACCAACUCAAUGGACAUGAAUUUGAACAAACUCCAGGAGAUAGUGGAGGCCAGAGGAGCCUGGUGUGCUGCAGGUCCGUGAGGUUGCAAAGAAUCAGACACAACUUACCAAAUGAAUAACAGUGAGAGUUUGAGACUAGGUUCCUGCCUUACUUCUUAAUCUUACAGCUAACCAACCAAACCAGUACCGAUGUAGUGGCCAUAAGAUGACCUUUGAUGGGCUGGGGAAGGGAUGGUAUAAAAUGGCAUUAAUGAAUGAGCAAAGUCCGGGAGAUAGUGGAGGACAGGGAAGUUGGGCGUGCUGCAGUCACUGGGGCUACAAAGAGUUGGACAUGACUUAGCAACUAAAAAACAACAACAACAAUAAAAGUCGGAGGCACUGCCAUCAGUUGAACAGGAUCACUCCUGUGGCUUUGGAGCAAGUGAUCAUGGGAAAGCUGCAUCUGCCUGCAUUGGGGACACCUGUCUCUCCUGCAAAUCAGUUCCCUAGGGCUUGGCAGCUUCUUCCCUCCCAUCACCUAUCUGCUUCUUCCAUCACCAAUCUGCCCACCUGCCUCUAUCCCUGAGGCCCUCAGGGAGGAGCUGACCCAGGGAAGGAGCUAGAGACAGCAGUGGAACAAGUUCUAUGGGGCAGAGGGAAGGCGCCUACCUCCCUAUUUAUUAACUGAGGUCCUGGCCUCCCUCCGGCCCUGAUCUAGGCAGAUCAGGCUCUGCCUAGCUUAGCCUGCCUGCCCGCUCCUCCCCACCUCCCUGUGCCCAUUCAAAGGAGGCAGCUCUCAUAUAUGCUGGAGCUUGACACACCCAGCUCCUUCCACCAGUCUAGCCUUCUCCUCUAACAGAAGAUGUCUGUGCCUGAGGCUGGGAGACCUGAGAUGCCUGCUAUGUUGAGCCUCCCUGGGAGGUGAGACCUGGCAAUCUGAGCCUUCAGAGCACACCCAGAGCCCCAGUUAGCAGGCAGCCAUCUCUCUCCAAAGCCUCCUGCUGGGCUCAGCACUGGCCUUUUCUCUCUCUGUCUCUUUACGAAAAAAAAAAGUAUUUAUUUAUUUGGUGGUAUCAGCCUGUAGGAUCUUCAAUCUUCGUUGCAGCAUGCAAGCUCUUAAUUGUGGAAUUGUCUAGUUCCCUGACCAGGGAUCGAACCCAGAUCUCCUGCGCUGGGGGCACGGAGUCUUAGCUACUGGACCAGCAGGGAGUUUCCUGGCCUUUUUCUUAAUGAUCUUAAUGAUGAGAGCCAAAGGGAAAAUACAUGGGAGUCAGAGGAACUGAGGCUGGAUAUUUUCCUGGCCCUUAUUCUCUCUCUCCCAUCCACCCUGGGUUUUCUGUUCCAGAUCAGCCCUAGCCCCAUGAUGAAGUCACUCUCCUUCUUGGGGCCUUCUAGUCCAGCUUCAAGAAGAGGGGCUUGGGCCCAGGAAGCUGCUUGUUACCAGAUGCCCCCAGGUGGUUCCAAGGCAGGUGCUGGGUGGACAGGGUUAAAGAAGCAGCUGUCUUGUACAUUCCAGAAAGGCUUUGUCUUACAUUCCUCCUGGAUGUACCCCUAGAAGCCAAGGGUCUGAAGUGAGCAACCAAGAGGCUGGGGCUUCUGGAAACAAGGCAGAUGAUCCUCUUUGUGGGACUUGACUCUGAAAGCUGCUACCAUCAGUGGUUAGGAUUCUGAGCUUCUACUGCCCGGGGCCCCAGUUCAAUCCCUGGUCAGGGAACAAGAUCAUACAAGCAACACAUUGCAGACAAAUAAAUUAAAAAAAAAAUUUUUUUUAAAGAAAUACCAAUCUUACAACCCAGCCAUUGCGUCCUUCGAUUCUUACCCAAGAAUGAAAACAUGUCCACACAAAGACGUUACACAAAUGUUUGUAGGAGUUUUUCUGGUAAUAACCCCAAACUGGAAACAACACAAAUAUCGACCAUUAGAAUGGAUAAACAAAUAUGGUAUAUCCAUACAACAGAAUGUUACUCAGCAGUCAAAAGGAACAAACGAUUGAUUCACACAACAUGGAUGAACUUCAAAAUAAUUAUGUUGAGUGAAAGAAGACCAAAAAGAGUAUAUUCUGUUUGAUUUCAUUUAGGUAAAAUUCUAGAAAGGGAAUCAGUGGUUACCUGGGGCGAAGGUAGAGAGAAAGAGGGAGAGAUUACAAAAGGGCACGGGACUUCCCUGGUGGUCCAGUGGUUAAAACUCCUUGCUCCCAAUGCCGGGAGCAUGACUUUGAUGCCUGGUCUUGGUCCUGCAUACUCCACAACACAGCCAAAAUAAUAGUGAUAAUGGCAUGAAGAAACUUCUAGGUAUGAUGAGUAGGUUCAUUACCUUUAUUAAAGUAAUGUUGACACGUGUUGAAACCCAAAUUAUUUUGUGCUUUGAAUAUGCACCGUUUGUUAUGUGUCCAUUGUAAUUUAAACAAAUUUUAUUGGAAGAUAUUUGCUUCGUAUUGUGCUGAUUUCUGCUAUCCAUCAACAUGAACCAGCCACAGGUAUACAAAUGUCCCCUCCCUCUUGAGCCUCCCUCCCAUCUCCGACCCCAUCCCACCCCUCUAGGUUGUCAUAGAGUACCAGUUGAGCUCCCUGUGUCACGGCAAAUUCCCACUGGCUAUCUAUUCUACACAUGGUAAAGUGUGUUUCCAUGGUACUCAAUUUUUUAAAAGGUGUUAAUGAGUGAACGUAGGUUGAGCAUAUCUAGGUCUAAUCAAGCAUUGAAGGUGCAUACAG